UUCAUUCUUGGAUCAUUGUGUGAGGUGGAACAAGCACAUAUACUAACUUUAAUAUCAAAAUGCUUUCCUUGGUCAAAUUCCUUUUUGUUAUCGUCACGCUCUUGGUUAUAACACAGGAUGUUACCAGUCACUGGUUUGGCGGAUGGCAUGGUGGUUGGGGCCGACACUUCGGACCCCCCCCUGUCGUAGUCGGCGGAGGCUUCGGCUUCGCAAGAUUUGGAGGCUAUGCACCACCUCCCCCCUUCUUCUACCACCCGCCACCACCUUUCUUCGGAUAAUUUGGGACAACGCACGGAUUUUGGAAAACGAACCUAACAACCUGGACACUAUUAUGUUAGUUUAAAUUAAAUAUUUAUUGAUAAUUUU
Manduca sexta (tobacco hornworm) is the source of this 366-nucleotide long non-coding RNA. RefSeq lists it as uncharacterized. Lineage: Eukaryota; Metazoa; Arthropoda; Insecta; Lepidoptera; Sphingidae. The record is from RefSeq and is a predicted model, not a curated record. The transcript has 2 exons.